RNAcentral lists this long non-coding RNA (889 nucleotides) under Phoenix dactylifera (date palm). Its description in RNAcentral is "long non-coding RNA (PDAC_LNC017295)". The record is from RNAcentral. Lineage: Eukaryota; Viridiplantae; Streptophyta; Magnoliopsida; Arecales; Arecaceae.
AUCUUUUUGUCCAAAGUUUGUUCCUUUCUUUCGGAGGCGAUACUGUUUUUUGUUGAUUAUGGCUGUUAUAUCAAUUGCAAAAGUUUGUUUGACAUAAUUUUCAGUUUUUGAGUAGUACUGCUUUCAAGAUACUUCUGUAUUACUUUCUUAUGUUUUGCAUUUACAAAAUAUUUUAAUAUGUAUUCUGCUUAUGCUAUUUGAAAGGACUAAACACAUUGUAUUUAUAGAACUAAAGCUCUUUUUUGAUAUAUUACUUUUUUGUUCUCUCCAAGGUCUACAAUUUCGGUACUUGAUAUCGUAUCGUUACUUUAUCGGUUCAGUAUAGUACGAUAUACCUUUGUACUGAAAUAACUUUCUAGCUAUUUUUUCAAAUUUUAUCUCGGUACGGACCGCUAUACACCUCAGUACACCUUAGUAUGUGCGGUACAGGGCAGUAUGCCUCGGUACGGGCGGUACAGGGCUUGUACCGACUUGAAGGUAAGUUUUGUACCCAUUUUCUUCUGGUACCAUACGAUGCACCUCGUACCAGAUGGUAUGGGGUAGUACAGUAGACUAUGGUUCUCUCUCUCUCUCUCAACCAAAAAAAAGGAAUGAACUUUCUAAAACGAAUCAAACUAGAUACUCAAGAUUCAUCAUGUUACUCUCCAAAAUCAUCUUCCUCAGUUGUGAAAGCUAUGAAGAUUUAUUCUGGCUGAUUGGCUUUAAUGAAGUAGAUCUCCAAAGUUUGAUGUGAUAGUCUCAACAUCUCCAAAGUGGCAAUCUUGCCAGAAGUUAGUCUCUGACCAUCAUCAGAAAUCACUGAUUUGAUUGCUGGUGGUAAUUGCUGAAUGUGCUAGACGUCUUUUUUCUCCAUUGGUGAAUGAAUGCAGAACCUUGAUGAGCUUUAGUU